CUCUUUGUAUAAAUUUCCUAAUCUAUUUGUGACUUGUUGCUUUUGGAAAUUUUUUAAGAAAAUCCCCCCGCUGGCGGCGAGAAAUUUGAUGUUCCCGCAAAAAGUUUGUUUAUUUUAUCUAGCCAAUGGGAUCUUUAGGAUCUGUGACGUCAGGCAGGUUUUGUGCAUCCCAACAGCUGAUCGCCAUUUCAAGCCCGAAACCGUUUAUAUUUCCUCAAAGUUCUCGUGUUUGCAAUUGUUUUAAAGCGAAAAAAAUACUUGUCAAAUGCUUUAAAGAAAUCAAUGUUUAUUUAGAGUUAGUUUUUUUUCUAAGUUUUUGUGUUUAAGUUGGAGUAUUUUCAUGUGUAAGUUUGUG
This is a non-coding RNA of Paramuricea clavata, 355 nucleotides long. Lineage: Eukaryota; Metazoa; Cnidaria; Anthozoa; Malacalcyonacea; Plexauridae. The record is from the annotation of a GenBank genome assembly.